This 551-nucleotide long non-coding RNA is filed under the name Ananas comosus (pineapple). RNAcentral describes it as "long non-coding RNA (ACOM_LNC024863)". Lineage: Eukaryota; Viridiplantae; Streptophyta; Magnoliopsida; Poales; Bromeliaceae. The record is from RNAcentral.
CAGGCCGCCUCCGCUCUGUCUUUGCCGCUCUCUGGGAAGAGAAAGAAAAAAAGAACGAGAGAAAAAAGAGGAGAGAGAAAAAAGUAUAAGGGCGCCUCCGCUCCGUCUCCGUCGCUCUCUGGGAAGAGAAAGAAAAAAGAACGAGAGAAACGAAGAGGAGAGAGAAAGAGGAAAGAGAAAAAGGUAUAAGGGUAUUUUGGUCAGUUUGCUGAAAAAGCGGACCGAAUCUGCAAAAACGAAAAAUGUGGCCCGGUUUUGCAAAAGUCCAAAAUAAGUGGAUUUUUUAUGCAAAUUGGCCCAAGAUCUAUACUCUCGAGCUUGAUUACAAAAUUUUUAUCAUCACUUUUUAAAGAAUAUUUAUUUUCAGCCGUUCAUUUUGUGUCCACUUAAUGGACAAGAGGACAAUAUUGGAAAAGUAUGAAAUUUGAUUUCUAAAUGCUUUAAAUGGUAUAGAUCAUAUUCAACGGUACCGAUCGUCGAUUUGAAGGCUCCAUCAUCGAAAACAAAUGGGUGGCAACGGUGCCGCUCGUCGAUUUGAGUUUUGGUCAAAU